CUAGAGAAUCCGAUUCGCCUCUAAAAAUUGUACGGUCAGACAGCGGAUCCUGAGCUGACCCCGUGUCGGAUCUGCCUACGCGGAGGCACCUAGGUGCAUGAACUAGCUAGGUCAAGCUACGCGCAUGAGCCAAGAUCGAUCAUUUCUGGACUUUCUCUGCUGGAACACGACCAUCCUCUGUUGCCUGGAUUUUUGCCUACAAUUGCUUCUGCUGUGUUCGCUUAAUCAAUUCUUACAACCUUGGGGCAGCAUUCAGGAUGCCUUUUCAUCUGAUCAAGUUCAUAAUUAACGGGGACAUUGCGGUUGUCCCAAGUGGAUGGUAUGAUGAUGGGAUGGUUUUCUGGCCCAGCUAUAAAAGCACAGACAGAAUGAAAAGGGCCGCUUUAAAUGAGGAGCAGCAUGAUCCAAACUGGCCAAGAUAUGACGUUUCUGUUGUCCGAACUUGUGACAACUACAAAGACGCAUUUAAAUCAAUGCAACAACAUGGAAAGGCCUACACCACGUCAGACCUGCAAUCCGAGGCACAGAAUGAGAAGCUGCAAGAAAAACGGAACAGGAAGCCAGUCAUCGUCUCGGGGACUCGGAGAGUAGCGAAGAAGACCAGGGAAAUGGUGACCUCCCAUCUCUGGGGUUGGCAAGCCGAUUGCACAGGCAGAGUAAGGAAUAAUCUCUUAACAACUAAAAAAACGAAACCACCACAUUAAUAUUAAAAUAUGGUUAACAUUCUUAAUGCUAAAGAUAUUCCCCUCUCCUUGUAUCCCUUCUCCGAGGUCCACUGUCUCGCCGAGUGCCAGCAAAAAUUAUUAAUACCGGUACUCAUCAACGCAACUCCUCAACUGGAGAUAACUUUCUAGCACAUCACAAUGGGUAAGGACGUAUUCCUUCGCCAGCACCUGCAUUAAACAUGCAGAGAGUUACACAAGAACGGCAGUCCCUCCUCGACUCCCUGCACCCCCGCCCCAGCCCUCAACAUGUGGCAGACAGAGGAGCCUGGAUCCCGCCUGGCCUACAGGCCAACAUGGCGUGGGGGAAGAAUGGCCGACAACAUUUCCUGCUCUGCGGCUGAGGUCCAGAUCCUUAGCCUGCUGGAAAUUAUGAAACACACCCAAGACCAGCUGAUGGCGAAGGUAAACUUCUUGACCAGCAGGUUGACCAUUACCCCAGGGCCAGAAGUGGAAAUGCCGGACAAUAUUCAGUUUCCACUGGGACAGUUGGAGGUCGUGGAGGCAUUUGAAGCCUUUUUGUACGAACAAUCAAAUGGCCCAGCUCGACAAAGAGUGGUGAGGUUUCUUACUUAAUAUGAAUGGUGCCAUUAGGUUUAUUGAUUUUCCAUGAUUAUGCAAAUAUUCUAUUGAAUCAGCCCUGACAACCAAGUCUGUCCUGAACCCCCUUUUCCCAGUGGUAAGAUUGUCAGUGAGCCACAAUCUGCCUUGUUUGACAUUGUUUGUAAAGGUAGCAUAGGUCCAUGAGCCAAGAGUACAGGUUGUUUUUUUUUACAUUUCUGGACCCUUUCAAGAAGAACAAAAAUGUAUUAAAUGCAACUUAAGCUUAAAAAUGUUUACCUGUUUGUUUAAAGAGAUGUCUACGCCUUUUAGAUUUCUUCUUUGGGCACCAUUGGAGGCCAGGAUGUGAAGCGGGUGACCUGGAACAUCCUGGGCAGGAUCUUCACCGAUGACGUUUCACAUCAAAUUAAUUGGAAGGGUGUCAAUAACAAAAAGGCCUUUAGCAGGAUGGCAACAAAGACCUGGUUUUUCAGUGCUGUAAGAAAAAAUGUGGUGACAAGGUCAGCCACAGAUGCUGUCGUAACCAAACACGCAAUCAGGUGGUUCAACCUGGCGGCGGAUCGGGCAACGAGGAGACGAGUUCUGCCUCCACCUCCACAGACAGAUCAGGAGGAAU
Nerophis ophidion (straightnose pipefish) is the source of this 1899-nucleotide long non-coding RNA. RefSeq lists it as uncharacterized. NCBI's taxonomy places the organism in Eukaryota, Metazoa, Chordata, Actinopteri, Syngnathiformes, Syngnathidae. The transcript has 10 exons. The record is from RefSeq and is a predicted model, not a curated record.